GAAUUGACGGGGCCGCACAAGCGGUGGAGCAUGUGGUUAAUUCGACGCAACGCGAAGAACCUUACCAGGGCUUGACAUCCCCUGACCGCGUAUGAAAGUACGUUUUCACCCUCGGGUGACAGGGAGGCAGGUGGUGCAUGGUUGUCGUCAGCUCGUGUCGUGAGAUGUUGGGUUAAGUCCCGCAACGAGCGCAACCCCUACGUUUAGUUGCUAACGCGUGAGGGCGAGCACUCUAGACGAACUGCCGUUGACAAAACGGAGGAAGGUGGGGAUGACGUCAAAUCAUCAUGCCCCUUAUGUUCUGGGCUACACACGUGCUACAAUGGCCGGUACAGACGGACGCAAAGCCGCGAGGUGGAGCAAAUCCUAAAAAGCCGGUCUCAGUUCGGAUUGCAGGCUGCAAUUCGCCUGCAUGAAGUCGGAAUCGCUAGUAAUCGCAGGUCAGCAUACUGCGGUGAAUACGUUCCCGGGCCUU
This 475-nucleotide ribosomal RNA is filed under the name uncultured Pelotomaculum sp. RNAcentral's name for it is "bacterial SSU rRNA". It matches the Rfam family "Bacterial small subunit ribosomal RNA", at positions 907 to 1382 of the family's 1533-position model. Lineage: Bacteria; Bacillati; Bacillota; Clostridia; Eubacteriales; Desulfotomaculaceae. The record is from RNAcentral.